RNAcentral lists this ribosomal RNA (305 nucleotides) under uncultured bacterium. Its description in RNAcentral is "bacterial SSU rRNA". It matches the Rfam family "Bacterial small subunit ribosomal RNA", at positions 337 to 660 of the family's 1533-position model. The record is from RNAcentral.
CCCUACGGGGCGCAGCAGUGGGGAAUAUUGCACAAUGGGGAAACCCUGAUGCAGCGACGCCGCGUGAAGGAAGAAGUAUUUCGGUAUGUAAACUUCUAUCAGCAGGGAAGAAAAUGACGGUACCUGACUAAGAAGCCCCGGCUAACUACGUGCCAGCAGCCGCGGUAAUACGUAGGGGGCAAGCGUUAUCCGGAUUUACUGGGUGUAAAGGGAGCGUAGACGGCGACGCAAGUCUGAAGUGAAAGGCGGGGGCCCAACCCCCGGACUGCUUUGGAAACUGGAUGGCUGGGGGGCAGGAGAGGUAA